CUUUAUUUUGAUGUAGGUUAACAUUUGAUUUGGGGAAGCUCUGUAGAUCGAGUUACAUUGCAGACUUGAAGACUUGCCAGCUACACCAUCUAAAAAAUGGGCUGCUGAUCUAGGUACAUUGCUACUCGGCCUUGCCUUCAUUUGAAGCUUUCUUAGAUCAAUUCUUCGAAACCACAAAACAAGUACUCUUGUAUUUUGAGGUUCUACUUGCAGAUUGUUCAUCUUCUGAUCUAUUUUGUUGCAUUAUUUUGCACUCUAUCUGCCAAUUUGGUUGCAUAGUCAUCGGGUCUUUCAAAUUAAUGUCACUGUGGGUUUGGUUGCACAAUGUUUUCUACAAGGUAUAGCUUAUAGUAUGAUAAUACACACAAGUCUGAUAUGGCCUAUGGGCAAAUUGUGCUGACAGAUUACGAUCCUUAAACCAUCCUUUAUACAACGUGAAGAAAAGUAGUACACAUCAAUGAAACCCAAGAUUGCAAGAAACUUGGUUAUUCAUAACAGUAUGUUACUGUAGCUGGUCCAUUAACAUAUUAAUUGUUUUACCAGUACAUGUCAAUGUACCAAAAUUUCCAGACUAGCUCGGCGGCCCUAUUUUGGUUUAUAUCAGGAUCAAUAACCAUAUAAACUUAAAUUGUGGUUUUAUUUGAAACAAGUAGUUAUGAAAUCUUACAUGGCUAGACAAUGUUUUUUUUUGCUAUUUGCUUCACAUAGCCAAUGUAGACGAGAAUGGCGACACUCAGUCUCCAAAGAGAUUACGCAUUGGAUCGGGGAGCACAUUGGUUGAUCAAAAUUUGUAGACACCACCAGCAAUGCAAAGCUAUACAUUGAUAGUGAAAUCGUGUCCUCUCCAGUCGACUUGCAAGGUUUGUGUCCUCUCCAGUCGCCGGCGGUUGCCUGAGGAUGUGUGUGGCUUGGAACAAGGCUCUCUUCCAUAUAAUCCAAGUUCUCGCACUUACCUUAUUUGUCUCCUAGUAGUUUUUAUGUGAUGUGUGAUUUCUUCCUUUUCAAAGUUAUUUGUUAAUGAACUAGCCUGACCUAAAAUUGAUUAGACUUAUGGUUACUGGGUAAUACUUUUAGUUUGCUAGAACUUUUUAUGCCUGAAAGAAACUUACGUAAGAUGCUAUAAGGAUUAACAUCCUUACCGAUUACAGCACCGCCGGCGGUGGCAGGACAUGAUUUCUAUAUGCAUUUAUAUAGAUAUAUUUGUAAGCAUUUCAUUUAUAUUUGUGAACUUAUUCUACAUUUAUUUGUAGUUUGCCAAGAAAAAAUAAAGUAGUGACCAAGUGUGCUUAUCUACUACUGCUUCGAGCUUCUUUUCCUUUAAGUUAUAAUAGUAUAUGUGUAUAUUUUUAGACCUAUGUUUGUUACUAUUAAAAUUAUAGUUACAUUUCUCAAAAUAAAAGUAACUAUUGAUUUUUUAUGAAACAUAUAGAUUUUAUUAAAUUUGGAUUCAUGGUAAUUUAGUUACUCCCUUUGAUCCAUAUUACCUGUCGCCGGUUAAUCGGAGGGAGUACAUGAAUUACUAAACUCUCCAAUGGUAUGUAACAAUCACAAUGUAUGUUUCUCCUGCUCAAAGACUAUUCCAUGCACCACUACUCUUUCAUCUGAUGGUAGUGUUGUGGACAUCCGCGUGAUGUAGCGUAGCUCGAUGCCGCCUCUAGGCCUCCACCUUGUCUGAGAGGCAGACUCAUACCUCAACUUAAAGCAUAUCUUAAGCGACAAUUCAACAUGUGGCAACACAAAGGCAUAUUCACCUUAUAGAGAAUGAGGAUAACCUUAUUUUUGACAUUUGUUGGAGUUGGAUAUAGGAAGUGUCUACAGUGGCACAUGAAGUAGGUUUUACAAAUUUUUUCAUUUGUACUCGGCGUUUUUACGAAAAAGUCCAUAUGAUUGUAGAUAUUUGAACCCGCCAUCCUUUCUUAAGUCAGAAAAACGUUUCGUAUUUGUGCCCCACCUGGACGUGUUUUCACCACACACAAAAAACCCACCCCAGAGUCGAUUGACCGCGCUCCCACCCCAUCUGGAUCCACCGCCUCCUUCUCGCCGGGCUGCAUCCUCCGCAGCGCCAUCCUCCACCGCGCCGUCCUCCCCGCACCCGGACUGCCUCCUCUCCGCCACGUCCUCCUCCCCACGCCGUCCAGGUCCUCCGCGGGCGGCUCGCCGACGCCGGCGCCGUCCUCCCCGCACCCCGGACUGCCUCCUCUCCGCCACGUCCUCCUCCCCACGCCGUCCAGGUCCUCCGCGGGCGGCUCGCCGACGCCGGCGCCGUCCUUCCCGCACCCCGGACUGCCUCCUCUCCGUCGCGCCGUCCUCCCCGCGCCGUCCAGGUCCUCCGCGGGCGGCUCGCCGACGCCGAGGCCCAGGCUGCCACGCUCCGGGCCUGCGCCAGCAGGCUCGAGCGCGCGCCGCCGACCGCGACGGCCUGCUUAACACGCCGGGAGGAGGACGCGCGGGAGGCGGUGCAGCGCCAAAAUCAGCGCGUGUCGGAUCCGGUCGAGGGUUAUGGCGACACGGACACGGAGGCUCUGGCCGUGGCCACCGCGAUGUAUGCCCCGCCCCUGCUUGCCGAGCACUACCUCGCCGGGAGGAGGGUUAUGGCGACACGGACACGGAGGCUCUGGCCGUGGCCACCGCGAUGUAUGCCCCGCCCCUGCUUGCCGAGCACUACCUCGCCGGAUCACAUGUUGUUUGAUUCACUGUUUGGUUGAAGUGUAUACUGAUUACACCUUCUACCAUGUUGAUUCGCUGCAGAUAGACGUGAUGGUGAGGGUUGUCGACGGGUCUUUGUCCCAUGUGGUGGCCGAGUCGAGGUGAACACAGGCAAUGUUCGUCAUGCUUAACAGGUAAUGUCAAAGCAACUCAAUUUCUUCAAAAAUUGUAAUUUUGGUUUCAUCCUGCUUUCUUUUCGCAAAUACAGGUUCAAUACUUCUAUUUGUUUUUUAGCUCAUGUUAUACUAAUGUGAGGUUUAGCAUUAGGGGUAACUUUAUGCAAUUACACUUAGUCAAUAGCCUUUUCUGUUGCUCUCGGAUUUUUAUGUGGGUAAUGGUGUGAUCUCCGUACAGACUAUAGAUGUUGAUGAAAUACAUGUCACGCUGAAAAAUAGCAUGUCCGAGAUAAGGCAAUGGAACCUUCAUGCUUAUGAUGUAAAGGUUUUUGAGCAGAGGGACGCCCGUGAGAUCUCCUGGUGGUGUUCGGACGCGGCCGCCAGAGUUGUGGCCUUGGCUGCGGCCAUGGGCAGUUGUUGGAGACAAGCGAGGUCGGGCUUGGUUCGUCGGAUCUGUGAGUGGUAGGUUGAUUCAUGUUGGUUUUACAAGGCGGAGAAGUUUUCGUCCAAGCUUGACCACCACGUUUUUUUGUGUUCGAUGGGCUUGCACCGGAAUUUGCAGGGAGAAGCUUGCAUUGUAGCAGGCCGUGUCUACCUACAAGACGGCCAUCGACAAUCAAUUCCUGAAGAAGUUAGCAGUCUGUGCAGUAUGCUAUGGAUCAUCGUGUCCAUCAAGAGCAAUCCCUAUUGUUUGUGGUACAUAUAUUCAUCUCUGUUGAAUCUGGAACUUGGUAACUAAUUUGCCCCGUGUAUAGGUAGACAUCGAUCAAUAUGAGAGGAUGCUUAGCUACAUAUUAAUCCUUGUCAAUUCAGUACAAAUUUACUGAAUUUACAGAUGGAGGUUGUUGAGAGAACUUUAGCUAACAAUUAUAUGUCCUCGGUGAUGUACAAGCAAACACUAAAUUUUUGCAGUGUACAAAGUCCUUGAGUAAUUCCUGGCGCUACAAGUUUAAAAAAAAGAUGCCGGGUCUCUACCAUAUUCAGCCUCCACUUCAGAAUUUGAUUUGAACUAUAGGACAGUCGGUUGCUUUUG
Molecule: long non-coding RNA, 3855 nt
Filed under: Triticum aestivum (bread wheat)
Lineage: Eukaryota; Viridiplantae; Streptophyta; Magnoliopsida; Poales; Poaceae
Description: long non-coding RNA (TAES_LNC026033)
Source: RNAcentral